This 250-nucleotide long non-coding RNA is filed under the name Anser brachyrhynchus (Pink-footed goose). Its description in RNAcentral is "lncRNA (ENSABRG00000001587.1)". The record is from RNAcentral. Lineage: Eukaryota; Metazoa; Chordata; Aves; Anseriformes; Anatidae.
AUGCAGCUGGGAGAGCCCUGCCUCAGACAGCUAAUGAGGCAUCGCGGCUUGAUUUCUCUACUUGAAAGUGCUGACUCCAUCUGUGUCACCACGGGGAAGAGGACGAGCAGAAACCAGACUGGCCCCAUCGAACAUCAAACACUUGACCAAGGUUGCAUAUUGGAGCUCAGUGUCCCAAAGCACUGCCUUUCGGUCAUGAGGAUCUGUGAGCUGCAAGCACCCACCCACCCUCCUGCUUCAAGGAGAGAGC